AUUGAACGCUGGCGGCAUGCCUUACACAUGCAAGUCGAACGGCAGCACGGGAGCAAUCCUGGUGGCGAGUGGCGAACGGGUGAGUAAGGUAUCGGAACGUGCCCAGUCGUGGGGGAUAACGUAGCGAAAGUUACGCUAAUACCGCAUACGAUCUAUGGAUGAAAGCGGGGGAUCGCAAGCCCUCGCUCGAUUGGAGCGGCCGAUAUCAGAUUAGGUAGUUGGUGGGGUAAAGGCUCACCAAGCCGACGAUCUGUAGCUGGUCUGAGAGCACGACCAGCCACACUGGAACUGAGACACGGUCCAGACUCCUACGGGAGGCAGCAGUGGGGAAUUUUGGACAAUGGGCGAAAGCCUGAUCCAGCCAUUCCGCGUGCAGGAUGAAGGCCCUCGGGUUGUAAACUGCUUUUGUACAGAACGAAAAGGUUUCUACUAAUACUAGGAGCUCAUGACGGUACUGUAAGAAUAAGCACCGGCUAACUACGUGCCAGCCGCCGCCGUAA
Molecule: ribosomal RNA, 500 nt
Filed under: uncultured bacterium
Lineage: Bacteria
Description: partial 16S ribosomal RNA
Rfam family: Bacterial small subunit ribosomal RNA
Source: RNAcentral